RNAcentral lists this ribosomal RNA (331 nucleotides) under uncultured bacterium. Its description in RNAcentral is "partial 16S ribosomal RNA". It matches the Rfam family "Bacterial small subunit ribosomal RNA", at positions 338 to 666 of the family's 1533-position model. The record is from RNAcentral.
CCUACGGGAGGCAGCAGUGAGGAAUAUUGGUCAAUGGGCGCAAGCCUGAACCAGCCAAGCCGCGUGAAGGAAGACGGCCCUACGAGUUGUAAACUGCUUUUAUACGGGAGUAAAGGCAGGUACGCGUACCUUUCUGAAUGUACUGUAUGAAUAAGGAUCGGCUAACUCCGUGCCAGCAGCCGCGGUAAUACGGAGGAUUCGAGCGUUAUCCGGAUUUAUUGGGUUUAAAGGGUGCGUAGGCGGUCUGAUAAGUUAGUGGUGAAAGUCCGCGGCUCAACCGUAGAAUUGCAAUUGAUACUGUUAGCCUAGAGAGUAGUUGAGGUAGGCGGAA